AAGCCUGCAUGGAGCUGCUAUUGGUACAGAUCUUGGUGGUAGUAGCAAAUAAUCGAAUGAGACCUUGGAGGACUGAAGUGGAGAAGGGUUUCGUGUGAACAGUGGUUGAUCACGAGUUAGUCGGUCCUAAGUUCAAGGCGAAAGCCGAAAAUUUUCAAGUAAAAAUAAAAUUUACUAUAUGUAAAAAUUAUAUACUUGAAUAAUUUUGAACGAAAGGGAAUACGGUUCCAAUUCCGUAACCUGUUGAGUAUCCGUUUGUUAUUAAAUAUGGGCCUCGUGCUCAUCCUGGCAACAGGAACGACCAUAAAGAAGCCGUCGAGAGAUAUCGGAAGAGUUUUCUUUUCUGUUUUAUAGUCGUACUACCAUGGAAGUCUUUCGCAGAGAGAUAUGGUAGAUGGGCUAGAAGAGCAUGACAUAUACUGUUGUGUCGAUAUUUUCUCCUCGGACCUUGAAAAUUUAUGGUGGGGAUACGCAAACUUCUCAACAGGCCGUACCAAUAUCCGCAGCUGGUCUCCAAGGUGAAGAGUCUCUAGUCGAUAGAAUAAUGUAGGUAAGGGAAGUCGGCAAAUUAGAUCCGUAACUUCGGGAUAAGGAUUGGCUCUGAAGAUUGAGAUAGUCGGGCUUGAUUGGGAAACAAUAAUAUGGUUUAUGUGCUCGUUCUGGGUAAAUAGAGUUUCGAUCAUUUAUGGUUGUAACUUGUUCCCCGGAUAGUUAGUUACGUAUCCAAUUGUGGAACUUUCUUGCUAAAAUUUUUAAGAAUACUAGUUGGGUCAAACCAAUUAGUUCUUAUUAAUUAUAACGAUUAUCAAUUAACAAUCAAUUCAGAACUGGCACGGACUUGGGGAAUCCGACUGUCUAAUUAAAACAAAGCAUUGUGAUGGCCCUAGCGGGUGUUGACACAAUGUGAUUUCUGCCCAGUGCUCUGAAUGUCAAAGUGAAGAAAUUCAAGUAAGCGCGGGUCAACGGCGGGAGUAACUAUGACUCUCUUAAGGUAGCCAAAUGCCUCGUCAUCUAAUUAGUGACGCGCAUGAAUGGAUUAACGAGAUUCCUACUGUCCCUAUCUACUAUCUAGCGAAACCACAGCCAAGGGAACGGGCUUGGAAUAAUUAGCGGGGAAAGAAGACCCUUUUGAGCUUGACUCUAAUCUGGCAGUGUAAGGAGACAUAAGAGGUGUAGAAUAAGUGGGAGAUAUUAGACUUCGGUUUGGUAUCGCCAAUGAAAUACCACUACUCUUAUUGUUUCCUUACUUACUUGAUUAAAUGGAACGUGUAUCAUUUCCUAGCCAUUAUACGGAUAUAUUUAUUAUAUCUUAUGGUAUUGGGUUUUGAUGCAAGCUUCUUGAUCAAAGUAUCACGAGUUUGUUAUAUAAUCGCAAACAAAUUCUUUAAUGAGAGAUGCAUUUACUGUAUUAUUGAUUUGAAAAUUUGGUAUAACUCCAAUUACUCAGGUAUGAUCCAAUUCAAGGACAUUGCCAGGUAGGGAGUUUGACUGGGGCGGUACAUCUCUCAAAUAAUAACGGAGGUGUCCCAAGGCCAGCUCAGUGCGGACAGAAACCACACAUAGAGCAAAAGGGCAAAUGCUGACUUGAUCUCGGUGUUCAGUACACACAGGGACAGCAAAAGCUCGGCCUAUCGAUCCUUUUGGUUUAAAGAGUUUUUAACAAGAGGUGUCAGAAAAGUUACCAUAGGGAUAACUGGCUUGUGGCGGCCAAGCGUUCAUAGCGACGUCGCUUUUUGAUCCUUCGAUGUCGGCUCUUCCUAUCAUUGUGAAGCAAAAUUCACCAAGCGUUGGAUUGUUCACCCAUGCAAGGGAACGUGAGCUGGGUUUAGACCGUCGUGAGACAGGUUAGUUUUACCCUACUAAUGACAAAACGUUGUUGCGACAGCAUUCCUGCGUAGUACGAGAGGAACCGCAGGUACGGACCAAUGGCACAAUACUUGUUCGAGCGAACAGUGGUAUGACGCUACGUCCGUUGGAUUAUGCCUGAACGCCUCUAAGGUCGUAUCCGUGCUGGACUGCAAUGAUAAAUAAGGGGCAAUUUGCAUUGUAUGGCUUCUAAACCAUUUAAAGUUUAUUAUUUAUAUUUUAAACGACAAUGGAUGUGAUGCCAAUGUAAUUUGU
This 2121-nucleotide ribosomal RNA is filed under the name Drosophila ananassae. RNAcentral's name for it is "eukaryotic LSU rRNA". It matches the Rfam family "Eukaryotic large subunit ribosomal RNA", at positions 1419 to 3258 of the family's 3401-position model. The record is from RNAcentral. Lineage: Eukaryota; Metazoa; Arthropoda; Insecta; Diptera; Drosophilidae.